UAGGGAGUCUUCCACAAUGGGCGAAAGCCUGAUGGAGCAACGCCGCGUGUGUGAUGAAGGCUUUCGGGUCGUAAAGCACUGUUGUAUGGGAAGAACAGCUAGAAUAGGAAAUGAUUUUGGUUUGACGGUACCAUACCAGAAAGGGACGGCUAAAUACGUGCCAG
This 164-nucleotide ribosomal RNA is filed under the name uncultured bacterium. Its description in RNAcentral is "partial 16S rRNA". It matches the Rfam family "Bacterial small subunit ribosomal RNA", at positions 355 to 511 of the family's 1533-position model. The record is from RNAcentral.